This is a long non-coding RNA of Cornus florida, 1311 nucleotides long. RefSeq lists it as uncharacterized. The record is from RefSeq and is a predicted model, not a curated record. The transcript is spliced from 2 exons. Lineage: Eukaryota; Viridiplantae; Streptophyta; Magnoliopsida; Cornales; Cornaceae.
UGAAAAAUUCAAGUGUCAGUCUUACAUUUUGAAUGCAAUGUUUCAUUUUACGAUUUGACAGUCAUAUUUUUUUAUUUUUUUAGUGGCCCAAAUCGGAGAUAACGCUCUUAAAGUAAAUUGGGAUAAUUCUAUAAACCGAGAUCAAAUUAGCUUAUUUUUUGAGUAUAAUAAUCAAAGUCGAAUGGGUUAAGAGUGAAAAAUUCAAGUGUCAGUGUUACAUUUUGAAUGCAUGUUUCAUUUUACGAUUUGACAGUCAGAUUUUUUUAUUUUUUUAGUGGCCCAAAUCGAAGAUAACGAUCUUAAAGUAAAUUGGACCUGGAAGUUACUGUAGUUUUUUAUUUAAUUCCUAAACUGCCCUGUUACGAAAUUACCUAACUACCCAUUCAAUUGAUUCCCCCUCUCUCUCUCUCUCUCCAUCUCUUUUAUCAGUUUAGGGUUUGUUGCCCACGCCUCUUUGCCUCGCCAUUGACCCAGCCGAAGAAGAGAAAAAUCUGCUACCAACUAAUACUAACUCCGGCCAUUACUAGAUAACACCGGCAACAAGUCACUCCGGCGACACUUCUCAGGUCACUCUUUUCUUCAUCCCUAGUCGGUUUGAAAGCAUUCUGUAAGAAUUGCGUAUGUAAUAAAGUUCUUGGUGUUUACUUCAAAUUUCUUUCACCUUUGAUUUACCGAUUGAUUGCUUCUUUGAAACUACCCUCUUAAUUUUCUUUCUUUCUUGGUAUCAAAGCUAGCAAAAAAUAAGCGAGGAGUUGAAAUAUCAAUGAGAAAUUGAUAGGAGUAUUUUUUUGGAGCUUGAUAGGCGUCUUGAUUAUUACAUUGUGUAGAAUUGUUGUUGCUUCCUCUGAUACCCAUGUUCCUCGGACAUUAUACCGUAAGUAGAAAUAAAAGGAUUGUUUUUUAAACAAAAAAAAAAAAAAAAAGAAUAGGAAUGGAACUAUUGAUCAAGCGAAUUAAUACAAAAAAAAUAAAAAAAUAAAAAAAGAUUUAACAAAUUAAUUUCCGCCUUAAAAAUAAGUCGUACAUCAAAUUUACAUACUUUCCAACGAAUAGUGUCUCUCGAAUUAGUGCCCAGCUGAGAAUAGCCACAAUUACAAGAAGCAAUGGGUCUCUGGAAUUAGUGCCCAUAACAUGAGGCAGAAUGCAGUUUGUAUUGUUGAUUUAAGCAGAACUUUGUAUUGUUGAGGAUAUUUUAGAUGCAUUUUGUUUAUCAUUUGGAUUACAAUUUGUAUUGUUGAUUUAAGCCCAAAAUUUUGUAUUAUUGUCAGUAGUACUAUUUUAUUAUGAAAACUCAUUAUUGUUGUGUGUGUC